This 763-nucleotide ribosomal RNA is filed under the name uncultured organism. Its description in RNAcentral is "bacterial SSU rRNA". It matches the Rfam family "Bacterial small subunit ribosomal RNA", at positions 682 to 1448 of the family's 1533-position model. The record is from RNAcentral.
UGAAAUGCGUAGAUAUUAGGAGGAACACCAGUGGCGAAGGCGGCUUCCUGGACAGAGACUGACACUGAGGCGCGAAAGCGUGGGGAGCGAACAGGAUUAGAUACCCUGGUAGUCCACGCUGUAAACGAUGGAUACUAGGUGUAGGUGGUAAGAAACCAUCUGUGCCGGAGUAAACACAAUAAGUAUCCCACCUGGGGAGUACAGCCGCAAGGUUGAAACUCAAAGGAAUUGACGGGGGCCCGCACAAGCAGUGGAGUAUGUGGUUUAAUUCGAAGCAACGCGAAGAACCUUACCAGGGCUUGACAUCCCUUGAACUAUCUAGAGAUAGGUAGGGCCUACGGGACAAGGAGACAGGUGGUGCAUGGUUGUCGUCAGCUCGUGUCGUGAGAUGUUGGGUUAAGUCCCGCAACGAGCGCAACCCUUAUAGCUAGUUGCCAGCAAUAAGAUGGGGACUCUAGCGAGACAGCCGUUGAGAAAACGGAGGAAGGAAAGGAUGACGUCAAAUCAUCAUGCCCCUUAUGCUCUGGGCUACACACGUACUACAAUGGCUACUACAGAGGGAAGCGAAGCCAGGAGGCGGAGCAAAUCUCAAAAAGGUAGUCCCAGUUCAGAUUGUAGGCUGAAACUCGCCUGCAUGAAGUAGGAAUUGCUAGUAAUUGCAGGUCAGAAUACUGCAGUGAAUACGUUCCCGGGCCUUGUACACACCGCCCGUCACACCAUGAGAGUCUGCAACACCCGAAGUCAGUAGUUUAACCGAAAGGAG